GUAACACGUCGGAACGUACCCAGUAGCGGGGGAUAGCCCGGCGAAAGCCGGAUUAAUACCGCAUACGCCCUACGGGGGAAAGGGGGGGAUCGCAAGACCUCUCACUAUUGGAGCGGCCGAUGGCUGAUUAGCUAGUUGGUGGGGUAAAGGCCUACCAAGGCAACGAUCAGUAGCUGGUCUGAGAGGACGACCAGCCACACUGGGACUGAGACACGGCCCAGACUCCUACGGGAGGCAGCAGUGGGGAAUUUUGGACAAUGGGCGAAAGCCUGAUCCAGCAGUGCCGCGUGUGCGAAGAAGGCCUUCGGGUUGUAAAGCACUUUUGUCAGGGAAGAAAUCGUUCGGGCUAAUACCUCGGGCAGUUGACGGUACCUGAAGAAUAAGCACCGGCUAACUACGUGCCAGCAGCCGCGGUAAUACGUAGGGUGCAAGCGUUAAUCGGAAUUACUGGGCGUAAAGCGUGCGCAGGUGGUUCGUUAAGACAGUUGUGAAAUCCCCGGGCUUAACCUGGGAACUGCAAUUGUGACUGGCGGACUAGAGUUUGGCAGAGGGGGGUGGAAUUCCUGGUGUAGCAGUGAAAUGCGUAGAUAUCAGGAGGAACACCGAUGGCGAAGGCAGCCCCCUGGGCCAUGACUGACACUCAUGCA
RNAcentral lists this ribosomal RNA (647 nucleotides) under uncultured bacterium. RNAcentral's name for it is "bacterial SSU rRNA". It matches the Rfam family "Bacterial small subunit ribosomal RNA", at positions 110 to 753 of the family's 1533-position model. The record is from RNAcentral.